RNAcentral lists this ribosomal RNA (477 nucleotides) under uncultured organism. Its description in RNAcentral is "partial 16S ribosomal RNA". It matches the Rfam family "Bacterial small subunit ribosomal RNA", at positions 333 to 801 of the family's 1533-position model. The record is from RNAcentral.
ACACUCCUGCGGGAGGCAGCAGUGGGGAAUUUUGGACAAUGGGCGAAAGCCUGAUCCAGCAAUGCCGCGUGAGUGAAGAAGGCCUUCGGGUUGUAAAGCUCUUUUGUCAGGGAAGAAACGGUGAGAGCUAAUAUCUCUUGCUAAUGACGGUACCUGAAGAAUAAGCACCGGCUAACUACGUGCCAGCAGCCGCGGUAAUACGGAGGGUGCAAGCGUUAAUCGGAAUUACUGGGCGUAAAGCGUGCGCAGGCGGUUUUGUAAGUCUGAUGUGAAAUCCCCGGGCUCAACCUGGGAAUUGCAUUGGAGACUGCAAGGCUAGAGUCUGGCAGAGGGGGGUAGAAAUCCAGGUGUAGCAGUGAAAUGCGUAGAUAUCUGGAGGAACACCGAUGGCGAAGGCAGCCCCCUGGGUAAAGAUUGACGCUCAGGCACGAAAGCGUGGGGAGCAAACAGGAUUAGAAACCCUGGUAGUCCCAUGAU